RNAcentral lists this ribosomal RNA (447 nucleotides) under uncultured bacterium. RNAcentral describes it as "bacterial SSU rRNA". It matches the Rfam family "Bacterial small subunit ribosomal RNA", at positions 47 to 518 of the family's 1533-position model. The record is from RNAcentral.
CGAAGCACCUGGUACGAUCCCUCGGGUGACGACCUUGUGACUGAGUGGCGGACGGGUGAGUAACGCGUGGGAAACCUGCCAUGUACUGGGGGAUAACAGUUGGAAACGGCUGCUAAUACCGCAUAACACUGUUGGAUCGCAUGAUCCGAUAGCCAAAACUCCGGUGGUAUAUGAUGGUCCCGCGUCUGAUUAGGCAGUUGGCGGGUAACGGCCCACAACCGACGAUCAGUAGCCGACCUGAGAGGGUGACCGGCCACAUUGGGACUGAGACACGGCCCAGACUCCUACGGGAGGCAGCAGUGGGGAAUAUUGCACAAUGGAGGAAACUCUGAUGCAGCGACGCCCGCGUGAGCGAUGAAGUAUUUCGGUAUGUAAAGCUCUAUCAGCAGGGAAGAUAAUGACGGUACCUGACUAAGAAGCACCGGCUAAAUACGUGCCAGCAGCCGC